CCUUUUCAAAUGCCUACAACAAUAGUUGGAUUUCAAAUUACAACCAAAUUGUAAAUUUAAAUUCAAAACAACAUUUAAAACUUAAUUAUAGAUCAAAUUCAAUUUUUUUAAAUAUAAAACACAAAUUUAAAAUAAAACUUUCAGUUCCAAUUCAAAAUUUCAAUUUAAAUCAAAAAUUAAAAUUUGGUUUUAAGAUUACAAGUUCAAUUUAUAUUCAAAUUAAAAGUUUAAUAUAAAUUUCAAAAUUAAAAUUUUGCAUUACAAUACCAACUUCAAAAAUUAAAUUUAAAUUCAAUAUUUUUUUGAGCUGGAUACUUAACAAAUUGGGUAUUAUCUAAUUUGGUAAGUUAUCAAAGAGAAUAAGAUAUUUGAUAUUUAUAGGAUGCUGACAAAUUUGGUAUAUACUACUAAUUUUCUUUCUAAUAUUGUCAUACUAACUAAUUCAAAUUGGUAACCUGCUCAGCAGGUUACUUCAUGUAAAACUCAAUUAUACCCUUUACUAAUUAAGAAUAAGAUUU
This 518-nucleotide long non-coding RNA is filed under the name Ananas comosus (pineapple). Its description in RNAcentral is "long non-coding RNA (ACOM_LNC008756)". The record is from RNAcentral. Lineage: Eukaryota; Viridiplantae; Streptophyta; Magnoliopsida; Poales; Bromeliaceae.